This 1222-nucleotide long non-coding RNA is filed under the name Ananas comosus (pineapple). RNAcentral's name for it is "long non-coding RNA (ACOM_LNC033184)". Lineage: Eukaryota; Viridiplantae; Streptophyta; Magnoliopsida; Poales; Bromeliaceae. The record is from RNAcentral.
GAGGCUAAAAAAAUUCCAAGAAAAUCACCGUAGCAUCCUAAUACGCCUACGAGGUGGGUGGUGCUAUCCAAACUCAUUGGAAUUCCUUCUAUGUCUAAUGUGUCAUUCAAUUAAGCAUAUAUCUAUAUUGUUGCAUGCAUUAUAGGGUAGAUGUGAUGUUAUAUAUGUGAAUGUUGCAUGAUGUGAGUACACGUGCUAUUCGAAAUGUUUGAGAACCUAUUCAACCCUAUAUGUAUGCAAGAGAUACAAUGUGAGCGCCCAAUGAGAUGAAAGAACAAAGUGACACAAUAAAACAUAGAUCGAGUGGCAUCCGACCAUGUAAAGGAAUGUGACACUAGAUGUCACGUCCCGCUAUCGCCAAUUUGGUCGAUCCGGGCCCGUACACAGACGCCGAACGGACAGAACCUCCUCUGUCUGCCCAAGGCUCAACAACCACGAGUACAUGUAUAAAGAAAUAAACAAUUUCCAGGAUAACAUUUCAAUAUACAUGGCUUGCACGAGGGCAAGCAACAAUCACAAGUGAUAGUAAGUUAACUAAAAAUAAAAUUCACUGUAAUUUAAAACUUUCAAACUGAACUGUAUAACUGAAAUAUUUAGUUAUUUACAUGCUUUAUAAUACAUUCAUUUACAUGUCUCUGUACAUCAAAAUAGAUGAUACAUGAACUCAAAAUGGUAACUGCUAAAACUCUGGUGUCAGCUAGCUAAGCUGCAGGGCCCUUGCCACGAUCCUCGGCAACAACACUUGCACUGGAACCUGUAUGGUUAGUGGUGUGAGAACUAUAAAUAAGUUCCCAGUGGGUUCGGCCGCCGACCUCGCCGACUCACCCACUAGGUCUACUCAGGCAUAUGUAGGCAAGAANUUUAACCUAGUAUUAAUAAACAUAGUGUCACGUCCCGCUAUCGCCAAUUUGGUCGAUCCGGGCCCGCACACAGACGCCGAACGGACAAAACCUUUUCUGUCCGCCCAAGGCUCAACAACAACGAGUACAUGUAUAAAGAAAUAAACAGUUCCCAGGAUAACAUCUCAAUAUACAUGGCUUGCACGAGGGCAAGCAACAACCACAAGUGAUAGUAAGCUAGCUAUACUAAAAAUUCACUGUAAUUUAAGACUUUCAAACUGAACUAUAUAACUGAAACAUUUAGUUAUUUACAUGCUGUUUAAUACAUACAUUUACAUGUCCCUGUACAUCAAAAUAGAUGCUACAUGAACUCAAAAUGGUAA